CCUACGGGGGGCAGCAGUGGGGAAUAUUGGACAAUGGGCGAAAGCCUGAUCCAGCCAUGCCGCGUGUGUGAAGAAGGCCUUCGGGUUGUAAAGCACUUUCAGUGGGGAAGAAAGCCUUGGGGCUAAUACCCUCGAGGAAGGACAUCACCCACAGAAGAAGCACCGGCUAACUCCGUGCCAGCAGCCGCGGUAAUACGGAGGGUGCGAGCGUUAAUCGGAAUUACUGGGCGUAAAGCGCGCGUAGGCGGUCUGAUAAGCCGGUUGUGAAAGCCCCGGGCUCAACCUGGGAACGGCAUCCGGAACUGUCAGGCUAGAGUGCAGGAGAGGAAGGUAGAACUCCCGGUGUAGCGGUGAAAUGCGUAGAGAUCGGGAGGAAUACCAGUGGCGAAGGCGGCCUUCUGGACUGACACUGACGCUGAGGUGCGAAAGCGUGGGUAGCAAACAGGAUUAGAUACCCCUGUAGUC
RNAcentral lists this ribosomal RNA (465 nucleotides) under Vreelandella stevensii. RNAcentral's name for it is "partial 16S ribosomal RNA". It matches the Rfam family "Bacterial small subunit ribosomal RNA", at positions 338 to 795 of the family's 1533-position model. Lineage: Bacteria; Pseudomonadati; Pseudomonadota; Gammaproteobacteria; Oceanospirillales; Halomonadaceae. The record is from RNAcentral.